RNAcentral lists this transfer RNA (70 nucleotides) under Odorrana margaretae (green odorous frog). RNAcentral describes it as "tRNA-Ala". It matches the Rfam family "tRNA". Rfam says of the family: Transfer RNA (tRNA) molecules are approximately 80 nucleotides in length. Their secondary structure includes four short double-helical elements and three loops (D, anti-codon, and T loops). Further hydrogen bonds mediate the characteristic L-shaped molecular structure. tRNAs have two regions of fundamental functional importance: the anti-codon, which is responsible for specific mRNA codon recognition, and the 3' end, to which the tRNAs corresponding amino acid is attached (by aminoacyl-tRNA synthetases). tRNAs cope with the degeneracy of the genetic code in two manners: having more than one tRNA (with a specific anti-codon) for a particular amino acid; and 'wobble' base-pairing, i.e. permitting non-standard base-pairing at the 3rd anti-codon position. The record is from RNAcentral. Lineage: Eukaryota; Metazoa; Chordata; Amphibia; Anura; Ranidae.
AGGAUUUUAUCUUAAUUUAAAGAGCUUGAGUUGCAUUCAUGAGAUGUGGGUUAGUAUCCUACAAGUCCUA